RNAcentral lists this ribosomal RNA (1665 nucleotides) under Triticum aestivum (bread wheat). RNAcentral's name for it is "partial small subunit ribosomal RNA". Lineage: Eukaryota; Viridiplantae; Streptophyta; Magnoliopsida; Poales; Poaceae. The record is from RNAcentral.
AUGAUAAUUCCAAAUGUUAAUUUUUUGUGCUGGAACAUGAGAAGACUAAAUGACCCGGACAGACGUGCGACUGUGCACGAGACGAUCGCCUCCACCUCAUGCCACAUUGUCUGCCUUCAGGAGUCCAAGAUGGAAAACAUAGAUCAGUACAUCGCCUCCUACCUUGGCGGUAAUAGACUCCGGAGCUUUGCUCAGCGUCCAGCCACUGGAUCCAGAGGAGGCCUCCUCAUGCUCUGGGAUGAUAGUGUCGUUCGCAUUUCCGAUGUCCACAUCACUGAGUUCUGCCUUUCCGCAAUGGUCAACGUCAUUCAUUCCGAUACCCCUUUCAAGAUCACUAGUGUCUAUGGUCCAACGGCCUCCAACAGAAAGGAUGAUUUCUUCAGUGAAUUGAUCGCUCAAAAACCCAUCAAUGGCACUAAAUGGAUUGUCAUGGGCGACUUCAACCAGAUUUACCGAGCUCGAGAUAAAAAUAAUAGGAACAUCAAUCGCAGCCGCCUCAACCGCUUCCGUGCUACACUAGACUCUUGUGAACUAAAAGAGAUCCACCUCCAGAACAUACGCUUCACCUGGAGUAACGAGCGUCAGAACCCUACUUUGUGCAAGCUGGACUCGGUUUUCUGCAACGCCGACUGGGACAUGCAUUUUGAUUCUCAUGUGCUUCAUGCCAUUUCUUCUUCACUCUCGGACCAUUGCCCCCUUCUCCUUGCCGAUGACAGGGGCCCGAAGCGACCAAGAUGCUUCAGAUUCGAGAAUUUUUGGUCCUGUAUCCCAGGCUUCUUUGACAUCGUCUCCAAGGCUUGGGAGGAGCCGUGUGCCCGCACAGAGCCAUGCCAACGGCUUUUCCAUAAGCUCAAGCAAACGGGGCGACAUUUGUCUAAGUGGAGUAGCAGGCUUUUCUCCAAGGCAAAGUUGCAUCUUCAUGCGGCCCUCCUCGUCAUCCUUCGUCUUGACAUUGCCCAAGAGACACGCGUCCUUUCGUUGGGAGAAAGGGAUCUUUGGGCUCGACUCAAGCGUCGUGUCGUCAGCCUAGCGGCGGUUGAGAGGGCGCGCAAAAAGCAAUGUGCUCGCAUUGCUAAUAUCAAGGAGGGGGACACCAAUACCAAAUUUUUCCACCUUAGGGUAAACUCAAGGCGAAGAAAAAAUCACAUCCACAGGCUCAAGAAGAAUCCUGGAUGGACCACAGACCAUCAGGAAAAAGAGGAAAUUAUCCAUGACCACUUUGCGAGCAGUCUGGGAGGGGGACAACCCAGACCGAUGGAUCUAAACUGGGAGAACCUGAACCUUAGGGUGGUUGACCUCACUGGCAUUGACGACAACAUCACCGAAGACGAGGUCAAAGCGGCCAUUGAUCUUAUGCCAGGUGACAAGGCCCCGGGACCGGAUGGUUUCACGGGAAGCUUCUUCAAGAAAUGUUGGCAGAUUAUCAAAGUGGAUGUAAUGAGAGUCAUCCACCAAUUUAGUAGCCUCCAAACGACAAAUCUUCACUGGCUCAACUCGGCCAACAUUGUGCUCAUACCAAAGAAGGAUGGGGCGGAAGAAAUCGGGGACUUCCGCCCCAUUAGCCUCAUCCAUGCUAUUGCUAAAAUCAUCGCCAAGGUGUUGGCGUCCCGCCUUGGCCCUUUCAUGAACAACCUUGUCUCCACUGCUGUGACGCCCCCAAUUUAA